CCUAUAUUAGUUCAAUGGUGAGAACGGAGAGCUUAUAACUCUUUAAUGGUAGUUCGAUUCUACCAUAUAGGA
RNAcentral lists this transfer RNA (72 nucleotides) under Caudoviricetes sp. Its description in RNAcentral is "tRNA-Ile". It matches the Rfam family "tRNA". Rfam says of the family: Transfer RNA (tRNA) molecules are approximately 80 nucleotides in length. Their secondary structure includes four short double-helical elements and three loops (D, anti-codon, and T loops). Lineage: Duplodnaviria; Heunggongvirae; Uroviricota; Caudoviricetes. The record is from RNAcentral.